This 861-nucleotide ribosomal RNA is filed under the name Alteromonadales bacterium. RNAcentral describes it as "bacterial SSU rRNA". It matches the Rfam family "Bacterial small subunit ribosomal RNA", at positions 624 to 1484 of the family's 1533-position model. The record is from RNAcentral. Lineage: Bacteria; Pseudomonadati; Pseudomonadota; Gammaproteobacteria; Alteromonadales.
CAUUUGAAACUGGUUGACUAGAGUUUCGUAGAGGGUGGUAGAAUUUCAGGUGUAGCGGUGAAAUGCGUAGAGAUCUGAAGGAAUACCAGUGGCGAAGGCGGCCACCUGGACAAAGACUGACACUGAGGCGCGAAGGCGUGGGGAGCAAACGGGAUUAGAUACCCCGGUAGUCCACGCAGUAAACGAUGUCUAUUAGAAGUUUGUGGCUAUAUGCCGUGGGUUUCAAAGCUAACGCAUUAAAUAGACCGCCUGGGGAGUACGGCCGCAAGGUUAAAACUCAAAUGAAUUGACGGGGGCCCGCACAAGCGGUGGAGCAUGUGGUUUAAUUCGAUGCAACGCGAAGAACCUUACCAUCCCUUGACAUCCAGAGAAUCACCUAGAGAUAGAUGAGUGCCUUCGGGAACUCUGAGACAGGUGCUGCAUGGCUGUCGUCAGCUCGUGUUGUGAAAUGUUGGGUUAAGUCCCGCAACGAGCGCAACCCUUAUCCUUAGUUGCCAGCACGUAAUGGUGGGAACUCUAGGGAGACUGCCGGUGAUAAACCGGAGGAAGGUGGGGACGACGUCAAGUCAUCAUGGCCCUUACGGGAUGGGCUACACACGUGCUACAAUGGCAAAUACAAAGGGUUGCUAACCUGCGAGGGUAUGCGAAUCUCAUAAAGUUUGUCGUAGUCCGGAUCGGAGUCUGCAACUCGACUCCGUGAAGUUGGAAUCGCUAGUAAUCGUGGAUCAGAAUGCCACGGUGAAUACGUUCCCGGGCCUUGUACACACCGCCCGUCACACCAUGGGAGUGGGCUGCACCAGAAGUCAUUAGCUUAACCUUCGGGAUGGCGAUGACCACGGUGUGGUUCAUGACUGGGGUGAA